Molecule: ribosomal RNA, 459 nt
Filed under: uncultured bacterium
Lineage: Bacteria
Description: partial 16S ribosomal RNA
Rfam family: Bacterial small subunit ribosomal RNA
Source: RNAcentral
CCUACGGGAGGCAGCAGUGAGGAAUAUUGGUCAAUGGACGAGAGUCUGAACCAGCCAAGUAGCGUGAAGGAUGACUGCCCUAUGGGUUGUAAACUUCUUUUAUAUGGGAAUAAAAUGUUCCACGUGUGGGAUUUUGUAUGUACCAUAUGAAUAAGGAUCGGCUAACUCCGUGCCAGCAGCCGCGGUAAUACGGAGGAUCCGAGCGUUAUCCGGAUUUAUUGGGUUUAAAGGGAGCGUAGGUGGAUUGUUAAGUUAGUUGUAAAAGUUUGCGGCUAAACGUAAAAUUGCAGUUGAAACUGGCAGUCUUGAGGACAGUAGAGGUGGGCGGAAUUCGUGGUGUAGCGGUGACAUGCUUAGAUAUCACGAAGAACUCCGAUUGCGAAGGCAGCUCACUGGACUGCAACUGACACUGAGGCUCGAAAGUGUGGGUAUCAAACAGGAUUAGAUACCCGAGUAGUC